AGCAGCCGCGGUAAUUCCAGCUCCAAUAGCGUAUAUUAAAGUUGUUGCAGUUAAAAGCUCGUAGUUGAAUUUCGGGAUCAAUUUAUUGGUCGUGCUAUUGUACGUACUGGUAUUAUUGAUUUCUACCUUCUGACGAACCAUGAUGUCAUUAAUUUGGUGUCUUGGGGAAUCAGGACUGUUACUUAGAAAAAUUGAGUGUUUAAAGCAGGCUCACGCUUGAAUACAUUAGCAUG
RNAcentral lists this unclassified non-coding RNA (233 nucleotides) under uncultured Glomus. RNAcentral describes it as "sequence contains 18S rRNA gene". It matches the Rfam family "Eukaryotic small subunit ribosomal RNA", at positions 569 to 811 of the family's 1831-position model. Lineage: Eukaryota; Fungi; Glomeromycota; Glomeromycetes; Glomerales; Glomeraceae. The record is from RNAcentral.